Molecule: ribosomal RNA, 250 nt
Filed under: uncultured bacterium
Lineage: Bacteria
Description: partial 16S ribosomal RNA
Rfam family: Bacterial small subunit ribosomal RNA
Source: RNAcentral
UUUACCUACGGGGGGCAGCAGUGGGGGAUAUUGCACAAUGGGGGGAACCCUGAUGCAGCGACGCCGCGUGGGCGAUGGAGCGCCUCGGCGCGUAAAGCCCUAUCAGCAGGGAAGAAGAUGACGGUACCUGACUAAGAAGCCCCGGCUAAAUACGUGCCAGCAGCCGCGGUAAUACGUAUGGGGCAAGCGUUAUCCGGAUUUACUGGGUGAAAAGGGAGCGGAGGCGGCCUGGCAAGCCUGAUGUGAAAUA